Long non-coding RNA from Alexandromys fortis (reed vole), 4065 nucleotides. RefSeq lists it as uncharacterized. NCBI's taxonomy places the organism in Eukaryota, Metazoa, Chordata, Mammalia, Rodentia, Cricetidae. The record is from RefSeq and is a predicted model, not a curated record. The transcript has 3 exons.
UGAAGAGUCCUCGAUAUAGAAAGCAGCACAAUGUGAAUGCACUUAAUACAACCAUACAUCCAAAACCAGAUAGUGGAACAUGUACACACCUAUUCUACCACAUCUUAAAAACUAAAUAUUUAACUCGCUCACUGGAGGUACAGGGAUUCUGUGUGUAUGUCACAACUGACAGGUGACAGCAGCGAAAGACACCUGGCUUUGAUCUCGGACCACACGGGACUGAGCAACAAAAGUCAUUGUGCCCACCAGUACCGGAGUGUGCACCGGAACGCACGUGUGUCUGGCCAUGGCAUUUCCUGGAUCCCCAGGCUCAGAGAUGCUCUCAAGUUUCUAUUCCCACAGUGAAGAACGUUCUUCCUCUCUUACCAUAGUCUCUCAGUUGGACCCUCCAGAAAGAGAACUAGUAUAUGAGAGAUGCAAGGAUUCUCUCAAUGUUUGACUAAAUUGGCUGCAGGGAUGAGCGCAGGCAAAAUUCAUGGCUACCCCUUCAAGGGCCAAAGAGUCACCCAUUUACUCUCCCUCACCACCCAAAUCCUUGAGGUACACCUGGUGGAGCCAGGUAAAACACCCUGAUAUAAAUGUCCAGACCAUUCCCCUAACACCAAAUGAUGAGAGGAGACCUAGACUCGGCAAGCAAAACUCCCUUCUUCCUUCCUCAAGGGGCCCUUAGUAUUUUAAAGGUGAGAGGGACGAAAACCUGAUUCCAAGGCUGAGUCCCCAAAACCCGAAGGCUGCAGAAACAUGUCCCCAAAGCUGAUCCUGGCCAGCUGACUUGUUUCUGUUGACAUUCCUGCAUUUUGACUUUCUGUGGCAUUUACAAAAUUAGCUGCCAACAUUUAAAAGGUGCGGAGUUCAUACACAGGGAGAAAUAUUUUCUGAUGCUCUUGUAUCACGGGAUAACAACUCCAGCGACUGUGCUGAUUUAACCUGACCAUCUACUUGAAUAGGUGGAGAAACACUUGGAAGCUGGGAGAGCACGGCUCCUGGUCCCAAAUUAGACCUAUUCAAUGCGCCCUUGAUGCAGUCAUAAUGCGAUGGCCUCACUGGGAAAUGAUGAGCAGAGGCUUUCCUAGAAGCAGAUUCCUGGGUGUGCACCCUUGCAGGCAUCUUGCCCCAGCCCCUUCCUGUAUUCACCCUUUCUCUGCUUCCUUCAUGCCACAGGCUGAACAGCUGUUCACUGCCACACGUUUCUGCCACCAUUGCGGCUCAAGUACACAGAACCACGUGGCCAAGGAGGAACCCUCUGAAACUGUGUGUGUGUGUCCUGGAAACGAACGAGCAGCCUCCAUCUACAAGGAAAAGAAGUUAAAGUCUGGACACAAAGAGACCAAGCGGCCUCUGCCACCCAGUAAGCACUCGAGCCCAACAGGCAACCAUCAUCUUGGGAUUUUAUAAGUUUGUUCCAGAAACAACUUUAGCAGACACACAACAAAGCCCUUAACAGAAACCUAACAAAAACUAGAACACUAAGACCAAACCAAAGAAAUCACAUGCCGGAAGCCUAAAAAGAAAGACUAGAGAAUGGGGCUGAGCCACAGGCGCGCAGCCCAAGAAGCCCUACACAUCAUCUCAAGGUGGCCGGAAAUCUGGAGUCUAAACUCCGACCUGAUCAUCUGAAAGAGGAAAAUAAGAUCAGCUACUAAGUCCGCCACAUCCAUUAAAGGAAGGGGGCAAGGGAGAGGGCAAACAGGGGGGAGGAAGAGAAGGAAGCAGUGGCAGCGUGAGCUACAAAGGGUAACCCUCAUAAAAAACUACGUGCUUUCAAAAGCCCCCUGGCACCCCAAAUCUUCAUUCCAUCACUCUCCCCUGGCCUGAGGUCAGGGACUGUGCAAUGUGGGUUCGCAUAACACAGAGGGACUGAGAAACGGGGGCCUACUAAAAAUGUCACUCCAAUUAUUUCUCAUCCCUCUAGGGCUGUUUAUAGGAAACAAUAUUGAGUUUAAUAGCAUAUUAAAUGCCAAGCUCUGUGGGUGAAAGGUUAAAAGUGCCAACGUGUUAAUACACUAAUGCAAAGGGAGGGUACUAAAUUACAUAGGAGGGGCUCUUCCCCCCCCACCAUACACAUACAGAGAGAGAGAGAGAGAGAGAGAGAGAGAGAGAGAGAGAGAGAGAGAGAGAGAACGCUCCAGUACAGCUUUAACUACAACAUGGUGUAAAACACAAAAUCAGAGAUGUUGAAUGCACUCACCCAGCCAUACCAAAACCAGAACCAUCCCACCACAUCCACUUUCUCAUGUAACCUAAUGUUACAAAGACACCAAGAAUGCCAGCGAAAUUGCUGUUUCCGUGAAGCAGUCAGGAUGCAGAGUCCUUUCCGAGGUAAGCUGUGGGCCAAUGAAUUACCCUUGGGUAAAGAACGUCCCCAGUACCAACAAUAGUGACGACGAAUGCCAUCAGGUGCUUGCUUUAUUCCUUCAACAGCCCUGUAAGCGCCGACACUGUAAUAGACAGACACGGAAACGAGCCGGCCCAUGGAGGGGGCUAGAAGGAAUGUCUGUCUGUAAAGGACUCUCUUCCGGUUCACAGAGCUGUCAUUCUUGAGCCUGUUUGACCGCCACUGCCCAAAUCACAGCCUUACUCAAGUGCCCACCUUCAAGUUUAAAGCACAGUGCAGCUUCUCUACCCCUGAAAAUGGAAGUCUGGGUGUCCUCCCUGCCUCACGGGCAAGAAAAGUCCUUAGCCACCCCCAGGCACUGGCACACCAGGGCUUCAAAAUGCACAGUCGCUUUCGCUGGAAGUGGAUGGCAGCCACCAAAGAAAGAAACCAAAAACCGAGAUGAAAGGGACCACAUUGUUGGAUCCUCCACUCCAGCUCAUUCUGACUUGCUCCUCGACAGACACAUCAGCGUAACGGGUCUUGUACGAUGCUGUGUGGGUACACUAUGCAAGACCAGGGGCACGAGAAACUAACUCAUGGCAGCGAAAGCCCUGUGAACCUUUGGGGUCCUGCCCAAGAGUCCAAAACGCAGAGCGGCACAGGUCCCACAGCUGAAAGCACAGAUACUCAUUCAUUGAAAGUACUGAGCUAUGGCUUGAGAGCCAUCCUGCUGAGGCUGGGGAGCUUGCCUCCUUCCCAAGCUUGGCCCCCAUCACAGGAAGUCAAAUGGUUCCAGCAAGCUGUCCUGAAAUUGGUUUCACGUCUUUCUGCUUAAGGCGGUGAAUAGGAAAACUUCAGCAAGACAGGAAAACACUGGAAAAUUACACUCAACUGGUGAGGAAGAGAUUUAAGGGGGAAAACGUUCCUUAGCUCUCUUUUCUGGAGCGCCCCAAGCUUCUGCUUCCGGCACAGAUCUUGGUGGAUCUACCAUCACCUGUGGGCACAAUGGUCAUGGCAGAACACAGUGUCUGAAGCCUGCAACUCCUUGCAGCUCCGCAGAAGACAGACUGCUGGGACAAACAUGCUUUUCAUUUUGGCUUUCUGCAAGCCACCGUUCUGGAUGACCGGAAAGGGGUGAGUGGCUGGGACACAGGGGACACAGUUCUGACAGUACCUUUCUGUGUGGCUUGUGAGCAACAUCUGGGGAUUCUGGUUCAGUGGCUGAAAGGCCGCCUUGCUACGAGCAUGGGGCAAAGCCAAGCAGACAGACCCCACAGGUUCUCUAUGUUCACGAUGUUGACCAGAAAAGCUGUUACCAGGCGUGGAGCCAUAGACUAAGGCUUGAUGGUGUGGGUGGGGAAGACUUGGCUGCCGCAGUGGCUAUGACAACGUUAUGACACUGAUUUAUACCCAUCAGGCCAAACUCUAAACUAUAUGAGGAUAAAAAGGAAUUUAUACCAGAGCACAAGGAGAGGUGUUUAGUUGGUGGUUUUAGGAGCUUGCUAUGUAGCCCAGGCUGGCCUCAGGGCCUUGAACUCACCAUCCUCCUGCCUAGGCCUCUGGAAUGCUGGCUUUAGAGGACAUCAUACCUGCCUUAUGCAGAGCUUUUGAUACUUUUUAACUUUUUCUCUUUUAUGUAACUGUUUGUCUGUCUGUCUGUCUGUCUGUCUGUCUGUAUGUGUACCAUGUAUAUGCCUGUUGCCUGCAGAGGCCAGAAGAAGUUACCAGACCCUCUGGAGCCAGAAUAA